Astatotilapia calliptera (eastern happy) is the source of this 3390-nucleotide long non-coding RNA. The record is from Ensembl. NCBI's taxonomy places the organism in Eukaryota, Metazoa, Chordata, Actinopteri, Cichliformes, Cichlidae.
UAUUUGAGUUGCUGUUGCCUUCUUAUCAGCUCGAAGCAGUCUGGUUAUUCUACUCUAACCUCAUGCAUCAACAAGGCGUUUUCAUCCUGAUAACUGCUGCUCAUGGGGUAUUUUCUCUUUUGUAGACCAUUUUCUGUAAAGUCUAAAGAUGUUUGUGUGGAAAAUAUUUGUGUGGCAUAUCCCAGCAGAUCAGCAGUAAUUUGGCAGAUAAUAUAUUUGUGUUAAAGAGCAGGUAUACUUUAAAAAGGUGGCUGUUGAGUGUAUUUUGUUUAAGAGAAUAAUUUUAUUUUAAGCAUUUUAUUUUCAGUUAUUAAUUUGUCCAAUUACUUUUGAGCCCCUAAAAUUAAGGGAUUAUGUUAAAAAGUUAUUUAGCUAUUAGCAAUGUCUCACAGACAAAGUAGCCAUUCAUUUGACCAGAAUCGUUGAAUCUCUCUCCCUCCAUCAAUUCUAUUACUGCGUUAGUUUCACCUUCUUCGUCUCUUCCUCACUUCUCCACAGCUGGUGCUGGCAGCAGCAGCCUCGUGUGAAUGUGAGGUUACUUGUUGUUGCUGGUUCAUUUUAUGGUUCAUGGUAUAUUAGCAGCCCUGACAGCUAAAAUGACAGUUAAUUUGACACAUUUUGCUUGACCUAUUUUUUGUUUAGUUUCUUUUUCUUUUUGUUUUCACAUGAGAUACUUUUUCUUCACCACUUCUACCACUCUAAACAUUUUCUACAAACUGCAUGAGUGCACAGCGAAGGUAGAGGAGGGGCCUGUUGCAUUAAGAGAUUUGAUUGGGUAAUCUAGUGUCGGUAAUGAAAAUGAAUGAAUGGGCUGCUGUCAGUGCUUGUACAGCCGUUGCACAGCGACCCUUCAGGCUGACCCAUCGGCCCAAAAAUGCGUCACCCCACCCGGAAAGCCUGGCAUGCAAGAUUACCAGUCCAGCCCUGCCACUCUGUAAUUAGCAAACAUUUGUUGUAAAAGCAGUCAUUAAUGGAAUGACUCAUUGCACAAUAACAGCUCAUUCACAACGUUUUAACUGGAAGUUUGGCAAGAAUGUUAACAACUCACUUCAUUUCAUAAAUUAACAACUUGCAUGAUCUUCCAACAAUCAUGCUCAUAUCCUCAAAGAUCAAAAUAGACCUGUAUAUUUCAAUCCAUUAUAGCAAUACUGGAUCAGAAAUAAUAUAACCUUACGCCGCCUCUCAUUAUUAUUUAUCUUUUAUUUUAGUAGGGAUAAGGUAGUGUUGUAAAAAUAUUUACAAUGAGUGGAAAACAAGGAACAGAGAAGGAGGAGGAAGAAUAGUAUUUUAAGGGGUAUUUCUUCAUAACAGGAAUCUUAACUACAGCCUUAAUGAGAGACUUGUGUACUACUUCAUACUAAAUCAACAACUAAAAACUCGAAGCUACUUUAGACUCACAGAAAGCAUCACUGUGUAUUAUGUUGUCAUUAAAAUGUGAAUCUAGUCACAGUUCAGGCAAACUGUGCAGGCUCUACACAACACGCCCUAUUAUUUUUCAAGUAAAUCUACUACAAAUGCUCCAGUGGGCACCAACAGCAUCUAUAUAUUGGAGAGGACCAGUUCACUGACUCACAUUAGUGAAGGCGAUGCCUAGCAGGUGAUUAGCUCAUUAUGUCCGCACACCUAUUAAACAAGCAUCCACCUUUCCAAUUUUAAGCCUUACCAGAAACUAAAUGGAAUGUCUUAUACAAAUCAAAUCAAAUAACCUACUAUACACUCGUGUAUGGAGUCUUAUAACUAAGUUAAAAAAAAAUAAAGAAAAAAGAAAAGUAAGUACUAACUACUACAGAAGUAACAGUUUGUUAGUACCAGUCAGUAAACACAGCUUUCAGUUGGGCAUUUUAACAUGGGAGUCAUUGGGGAGUGCCUGAGUCUUUGGAGCCAACCUCAAAUGGCCACUAGAGGAACUGCAGUUUUGGGAAUCCUUCAUUUCUCAGUCUGGUUCUGUUGGUGGCUUGAAUGUGGUAUACCAAGAUUGUACCAAAAAGAGCCUUAAUUCAUAUCAGCUAUUUUCUCAUUUCUGAUUUUUUUCCUGUGGUCCUCCAAUCACUAGUGAGAUGACAGUUUUGGGUGUAACAUAUUUUUAUUGCACGUGAUGGUAAUGUCACAUUCUGUACCCAAGACUAAACACAACAGCUGAUAUGACAUUGUGAAGAUGUAAAGACACACAAACACACAAACCUCUGAGGGAAAAGGGAAGCAUGAUGUUUUAGUAGUGAUGAACACUUAGGCUUGAUAGUGUUAGGGUACCUGUGUCGCUGACCCAGUGUUUUCAUUUUUGUACCUUUAUUUGUGUUCUCAUCUUGGUUUAUUACUGUGAAGGUUUUUGGUUUCUGUUUUUCAUUUGUAUUUUCCCCGGUUCUUCUUCUUCUUCUUCUUAUGUUCGGGUUUCCAUACUCCCUCUGUUAUGUGUCUGCCCUGGUCCCACUUCUCUCUUCCCUCUGUCGAGUAUCUGCUUGGGAGUCUGUCUGUAGUCCAGUCUGUGUUUCCUGUUUUACUUUGAAAGUCCGUGUCCUAUGUUAAUGUGUCUGGUUUUGCUUCCCUUGUCUCAUUAGCCCUGAUUUGUCCCAGCUGUGUUUCCCUCCUGUCUCCCAUUCCCUGAUUGCUCCCUCUGUGUACUUAAGCCCUGUGUUUUCUUUUGUCUGUGUUGUGAUCUCCAUCAUCCCAUGCUGUGUGUUCUGUCUGCCUUCCUGUGUAAAUUUAUUUUUGCAUUUUCAGUUUUUUUUGGUUUUUUUUGAGUCUGCAUUAAAGCUGUUUCUGAGUGCACUUUUGCCUCUGAGUAUCUGCACUUUGGGUCCUACCCUGCCUACACACAACCUACACUUGAUAGAUAGUGGUUAAGCCUUCAUGUCACCUAUACCCAUUCGUGCUGGGAGUGGUUAAGUAAUGUGCAAUGUAAGCAAUCACAUUAUGACCCCAGUGUUGCUAUGUGUUAGACCAAAGUCAGACAAAUGGCAGUCAAAAAUAUGUUUGGGUCCUGGUGUACUGUAGCUCAAGGCAUUGAGCAAGUGACCUGGGGUCAAAUCUGCCCUGAGGCAGUUUACAUUAGGUCUUCCCAAAUGGUAAACUGCUCUCCUCAACUUACCUGUCUCUCAAAGGCAAAAAAUCCACCUUCCAAAAAUGAUAUCUUGUUUAAAAUUUUAAAUGCCCCCCCCCCCUUAAAUUUUAGCAUUGUUUUUAAGUUGUUCACAGUUGCUCUACUUUGAAUGUGCCUUGAGGAAAUUUCCAUAAAAUGCUGCCUUGGAGUUGUAGUAAAGUGGAGCUCAAGGUGGCAUCUUGGAAUAAGUAAAACUCUCACAUCAUAGAUAAAGCAUAUACCCUUUUCUAAUAUUUACCCCCAGAACAAACAAGCGUCUUGUAAAGGGACACAGCAAUAAACUGAACUAUUCU